CUUGCUAGGUGGAUUAGUGGCGCACGGGUGAGUAAUAUAUAGAUAACGUGCCUCUUAGUCUGGGAUAGCCAUUGGAAACGAUGAUUAAUACUAGAUACUCCUUCUAACUCUAAUGUUAGUCGGGAAAGUUUUUCGCUAAGAGAUCGGUCUAUAUCCCAUCAGCUAGUUGGUAGUGUAAGAGACUACCAAGGCAAUGACGGGUAGCGGGUUUGAGAGGAUGAUCCGCCACACUGGUACUGAGACACGGACCAGACUCCUACGGGAGGCAGCAGUGAGGAAUAUUGCACAAUGGAGGAAACUCUGAUGCAGCAACGCCGCGUGGAGGAUGACGCAUUUCGGUGUGUAAACUCCUUUUAUAUGUCAAGAAAAUGACGGUAGCAUAUGAAUAAGCACCGGCUAACUCCGUGCCAGCAGCCGCGGUAAUACGGAGGGUGCAAGCGUUAUUCGGAAUCACUGGGCGUAAAGGACGCGUAGGCGGGAUGCCAAGUCUGAUGU
RNAcentral lists this ribosomal RNA (495 nucleotides) under uncultured Campylobacterota bacterium. RNAcentral describes it as "bacterial SSU rRNA". It matches the Rfam family "Bacterial small subunit ribosomal RNA", at positions 79 to 595 of the family's 1533-position model. The record is from RNAcentral. Lineage: Bacteria; Pseudomonadati; Campylobacterota.